CUAAGUGCCUGGCAGGGUAGACACCAUGAUCAUGAAGAUGGUUUUCCCAGGGUGAGGUUCAUCCAUUGUAGUCCAGGUGUGCUGAUCCCUGCAAUUUCCCCAAAUGCGAGAAACUUGACUGCAUAAUUUGUCAAGGAGAGCAAAUCCCCGUUAAUAGCAGUGGCUGCUGC
Sceloporus undulatus (fence lizard) is the source of this 170-nucleotide small nuclear RNA. RefSeq annotates it as U1 spliceosomal RNA. NCBI's taxonomy places the organism in Eukaryota, Metazoa, Chordata, Lepidosauria, Squamata, Phrynosomatidae. The transcript has a single exon. The record is from RefSeq and is a predicted model, not a curated record.